AGAGUUUGAUCAUGGCUCAGAUUGAACGCUGGCGGCAUGCCUUACACAUGCAAGUCGAACGGUAACAGGUUAAGCUGACGAGUGGCGAACGGGUGAGUAAUGCAUCGGAACGUGCCCAGUCGUGGGGGAUAACUGCUCGAAAGAGCAGCUAAUACCGCAUACGACCUGAGGGUGAAAGCGGGGGACCGCAAGGCCUCGCGCGAUUGGAGCGGCCGAUGUCAGAUUAGGUAGUUGGUGGGGUAAAGGCCUACCAAGCCGACGAUCUGUAGUUGGUCUGAGAGGACGACCAGCCACACUGGGACUGAGACACGGCCCAGACUCCUACGGGAGGCAGCAGUGGGGAAUUUUGGACAAUGGGCGCAAGCCUGAUCCAGCAAUGCCGCGUGCAGGAAGAAGGCCUUCGGGUUGUAAACUGCUUUUGUCAGGGAAGAAAUCCUCUGGGCUAAUACCUCGGGGGGAUGACGGUACCUGAAGAAUAAGCACCGGCUAACUACGUGCCGGCAGCCGCGGUAAUACGUAGGGUGCGAGCGUUAAUCGGAAUUACUGGGCGUAAAGCGUGCGCAGGCGGUUUUGCAAGACAGAGGUGAAAUCCCCGGGCUCAACCUGGGAACUGCCUUUGUGACUGCAAGGCUAGAGUACGGCAGAGGGAGAUGGAAUUCCGCGUGUAGCAGUGAAAUGCGUAGAUAUGCGGAGGAACACCGAUGGCGAAGGCAAUCUCCUGGGCCU
Molecule: ribosomal RNA, 726 nt
Filed under: uncultured bacterium
Lineage: Bacteria
Description: bacterial SSU rRNA
Rfam family: Bacterial small subunit ribosomal RNA
Source: RNAcentral